AUGGGCGCUCAUCAACGCCUUCGCCAUCGCCUGCGGCCAAGCAUCCAGCUACAUAUCUGUCCACUUCCACCUCCCGUGCAUCCAGUGUGCUGCGCCGCAUCCCAGGCGGCCGCGGCGGCGCUGGCGCUGCUGCUCCCAUGCCGCCGUCGCUGGGCUCGCCGUGCCCUCUCCUACCUCGCGCACGCGGUCACCAUCCUCGUCCAUUGCAUGUAUGCCAGGGCCGUCUGGGUCCUCCUCGCCGCCGACCUAGGAUACACCGUCGGCAGGGUCUUUUACAACGUGGUCAUCUGCGUCAUGGUGGUGUGCGACCUGGGCUGCCUGGCCCUCCUCCUUGGAGGUGAUGGGUGGGGCAAGCAGUACGCAGCCUCUUAG
RNAcentral lists this ribosomal RNA (372 nucleotides) under Triticum aestivum (bread wheat). RNAcentral's name for it is "partial small subunit ribosomal RNA". Lineage: Eukaryota; Viridiplantae; Streptophyta; Magnoliopsida; Poales; Poaceae. The record is from RNAcentral.